GACGAACGCUGGCGGCGUGCUUAACACAUGCAAGUCGAACGGAAAGGCCCUGCUUUUGUGGGGUGCUCGAGUGGCGAACGGGUGAGUAACACGUGAGUAACCUGCCCUUGACUUUGGGAUAACUUCAGGAAACUGGGGCUAAUACCGGAUAGGAGCUCCUGCUGCAUGGUGGGGGUUGGAAAGUUUCGGCGGUUGGGGAUGGACUCGCGGCUUAUCAGCUUGUUGGUGGGGUAGUGGCUUACCAAGGCUUUGACGGGUAGCCGGCCUGAGAGGGUGACCGGCCACAUUGGGACUGAGAUACGGCCCAGACUCCUACGGGAGGCAGCAGUGGGGAAUAUUGCACAAUGGGCGGAAGCCUGAUGCAGCAACGCCGCGUACGGGAUGACGGCCUUCGGGUUGUAAACCGCUUUCGCCUGUGACGAAGCGUGAGUGACGGUAAUGGGUAAAGAAGCACCGGCUAACUACGUG
RNAcentral lists this ribosomal RNA (468 nucleotides) under uncultured bacterium. RNAcentral's name for it is "partial 16S ribosomal RNA". It matches the Rfam family "Bacterial small subunit ribosomal RNA", at positions 28 to 507 of the family's 1533-position model. The record is from RNAcentral.